GGGUCUACCCAUUGGUCAGGCUUAAUUGUCUGUACUGGUGAGAUGGAUCUCUACCUUCUGAGGAACUUUCAUGUCAUUUAUUUGGUGUGAUGGGAAAUCAGGACUGUUACUUUGAAAAAAUUAGAGUGUUUAAAGCAGACUAUCGUCUGAAUACAUUAGCAUGGAAUAAUGAAAUAGGACAUCCGAUUCUAUUUUGUUGGUUUCUAGGAUCGAUGUAAU
This 219-nucleotide ribosomal RNA is filed under the name Diversispora sp. RNAcentral describes it as "partial small subunit ribosomal RNA". The stretch from base 48 to 219 matches the Rfam family "Eukaryotic small subunit ribosomal RNA", at positions 693 to 866 of the family's 1831-position model. The record is from RNAcentral. Lineage: Eukaryota; Fungi; Glomeromycota; Glomeromycetes; Diversisporales; Diversisporaceae.